UAAAAAAUUUGGCGGUAUUUUAGUCUAUUCAGAGGAACCUGUUCUGUAAUCGAUAAUCCACGAUGGACCUUACUUAGAUUUGUUUAGUUUAUAUACCGUCGUUAUUAGAAUAUUUUAUAAGAAUGUUAAUUUUCAUAAUUUUUAAAAAGAAAAUAUAUCAGAUCAAGGUGUAGCUUAUAUUUAAGUAGAAAUGGGUUACAAUAAUUUUAUUUAAAUGGAUAUAAAUAUGAAAUGUUUAUUGAAGGUGGAUUUGAUAGUAAAAUUAUAUAGAUAAAUAAUUUGAUUUUAGCUCUAAAAUAUGUACACAUCGCCCGUCACUCUUAUUAUUAAGAUAAGAUAAGUCGUAACAUAGUAGAUGUACUGGAAAGUGUAUCUAGAAUGCAAUUUAAAGCUUAUUAAGUAAAGUAUUUCAUUUACAUUGAAAAGAUUUUUGUGCAAAUCAAUAUGAAUUGAAUAGAUUUUAUUUAUUUAUUUUUUUUAUUUUUUAUUAUUUUAUUAAAAAUAAUUAUAAAAAGGGUUAGUUUAAGUAUUUUAUAAAGAAAAAAUAAAAUUUAUUAUAGUUUAAUAGUAUUGUGAAAGAAAAUUGAAAUAAUUUGAAAAA
RNAcentral lists this ribosomal RNA (601 nucleotides) under Morellia simplex. RNAcentral's name for it is "partial 12S ribosomal RNA". The stretch from base 1 to 384 matches the Rfam family "Microsporidia small subunit ribosomal RNA", at positions 779 to 1311 of the family's 1311-position model. The record is from RNAcentral. Lineage: Eukaryota; Metazoa; Arthropoda; Insecta; Diptera; Muscidae.